Molecule: ribosomal RNA, 433 nt
Filed under: Vandellia cirrhosa (candiru)
Lineage: Eukaryota; Metazoa; Chordata; Actinopteri; Siluriformes; Trichomycteridae
Description: partial 12S ribosomal RNA
Rfam family: Bacterial small subunit ribosomal RNA
Source: RNAcentral
UAAACUGGGAUUAGAUACCCCACUAUGCUUAGCCAUAAACCUCGAUGUUAAAUUACACAAACAUCCGCCAGGGUACUACGAGCACAGCUUAAAACCCAAAGGACUUGGCGGUGCCUCAGACCCACCUAGAGGAGCCUGUUCUAGAACCGAUAACCCCCGUUAAACCUUACCACCCCUUGUUUUUCCCGCCUAUAUACCGCCGUCGUCAGCUUACCCUGUGAAGGAACAAUAGUAAGCAAAAUGAGCAAAGCUCAAAACGUCAGGUCGAGGUGUAGCGUACGAGGUGGAAAGAAAUGGGCUACAUUUUCUACCACAGAACACCACGAACAGUGCCCUGAAACAAGCACUUGAAGGAGGAUUUAGCAGUAAAAAGAAAACAGUGUGUUCUUUUGAAUCUGGCUCUGAGGCGCGCACACACCGCCCGUCACCCUCA